This 2875-nucleotide long non-coding RNA is filed under the name Populus trichocarpa (black cottonwood). Its description in RNAcentral is "long non-coding RNA (PTRI_LNC001118)". Lineage: Eukaryota; Viridiplantae; Streptophyta; Magnoliopsida; Malpighiales; Salicaceae. The record is from RNAcentral.
AGACAACCAAAUUUCACUUCUGUCAGGGCCUCUAUAGACCCUGAAAUUUCUCUGGAAGUGCAUGAAGUAGCAUUGUCAAGCUAAUAACACUCACAAAACACACUUCGACGUAGCAUAUCAUUGCUGUAAUUUUCUGGUACAAAACUCACACAAGGAAGGGCUUACAAUGGAGGAAGACACACACAAACUGCUGCUGUUUCUUCUUCUCUGUUACUUCCCCGGUUUCUGCUCACUUUCGACUGCUACCCACUGCCCUUCUCUCAAUAAUUUCAGCUCCAUGUAACCUACCACUUGGAAAAAAUAAUACACUUAACACACAUUCAACUCUAGCUAACAUUAAGCUAACUCUAGCCAACUAGCCUUACAGCACAGUAACAUUAACAGUUGGUCCUGUCGGAAAAAAAGAGAUGAUAUUUGUAUAGGUAUUUUGUCAAUCAAUUUCUUACAUAAACAAAAACAAUUUUUUGUGGUCUAUAAAUUGAUCCUAUUGUUUGUUUUAAUUUAACCUUUUAAUGUGCUCUAAGGAGAAAAUUCAGCGUUAACCAUUGAGGUAGUGGAUUGAGAGCAGACUCAUCACAGGUUUAGGCCAAGAGCUCUUUCACAAGCAGAAACUGUUCCCAAUCAUCUGUGCAAACCAGCCACCAUUGUUUACCACAAUUUAAUUGUAAAAUGAGACUUCAAUGCUUGUUGCAAGCUAAGGAAGAAAUGUAAUGUGGAUGUACCAUGAGUGACACAUGCUUAAAAACUGCAUAUCCUGUCGAUAAUCACCACCUGUAAGUAUAAAACGAUUACUAUUAUAAGUUGAUAAGUGUCACGACCCGAAUCCCGGAUCCAUGACCGACACAUAGGCAAGGUUCCCCUCAAAGGUUCCAUACCUAUGCGAACCCAAACUUACACACAAACUUAUCCUAACUCAAUCAGAGUUCAACGCAGCAUUAAUAACAAAAUCAACUUCAUAAUAUAAUUGAAUUGUCUUAAUACAAGAGUUAAUAUAAUGCAGAGUUUUGGAGCACUAACUUGACAUUAAAGGAAGGUACAAAUUACAACCAAAAAGCAGGUUCGGAAGGUUCAACAAAAUGACCUGCUAUCAAGCUAUAAGCCUGAAAAGGAUAAAUAAUGAGAUGGUGAGUUCAACAACUCAGUGAGUAGAUAACGUUCAAUAUACACACACGAGGUAAUAAAACAAUGAGAAAUAUAUAUACAAGUAUGGCUUUAGGUUCUUAUGGAAAUGUUUCUCAAAUUGACCAUAACAAGAAUGUCAUAUGGUAAAACUCGUCAGAAAAUCAAAUGCAAUGAGCAUGAGGCUCCGUACUGUGGGAUGAUCAGUCCACACAGGUUGGUGACUCCCUCGACCAACUAGGGUUCAGAUACAAUGUGCACAAAGACUAACACUACCCUGUUAGCAUGGGUAUUCUGACUGACAUACCAUAGGUUCAUAAUCAUAAUCUAACAAACAUAUUCAUAUCUCAAAGCUCAACUCAUGACAUCAAUAAAAUGAAGAGCUAUCAAUUCAGAGGUCAAUUCAAAAUAUAUGUUGGUUCAUAUCAAGAAUUCAGAUUCAAUAAUUGAUCAUGCUUUAUCAUAACAAGGAUAAUAAUCAACAUAUAUAUUAUUAAGAAGCAUGAUUCAAUUCAUAUUAACAAAUCAAAUAUUUAUACUAUUUCUCAUGCAUAUGGAAAAUUAUCCACUCAUCUGACUCGAAAGCAACAAAACUCAAAGCUGAUAUCGAAGGAAAUCCUACUGACGUCCCGCCGGUAGAAUAUCAGGAUUAUCUGAAUACAAAUGAGACAUGUUCAAGAAUGACUCAAAAAAACAUAUAACCUAUUUAAUACACUUAUCUAAGGGUGUAUUCCAUAACCCUAUAUGUUUUUGAACUAACUAGUCAAUUUUCUCAAAAACCCAAAAUUUAACGGUUUUCCCGAAAUCUAAUCCAUAAUAAAACAACUAAUAAAAUUGAUAAUAAUUCACUAAAUAACCCUCAAUUAUUCAUCAAAUCAAUCUGCAAAAAUUAAUAUUACAGCUAGGGACUAAUCUGUAAUUUAUCCUAUUUUUAAGGGUCAAAUUGCAACUUUUGUCAAAUUGAAGGACCAAACUGAAAUUUGUCAUAAAUCCAUUACUAUACUGAAUUUCUGACCAUAAUUAGUCCUCAUUUCUGUCCAGAUCAUCUCAUUAUACUCCAAGGACCAUUCUGGAAUUUUACCAAAUUUUUAGGGUCAAAUUGUAAUUUUUGUCAAAUUGGAGGACUAAAUUGAAAGUGUUAAAAUUUCAUAACUAUACUAGAAUUCUGCCCUUAAUUCAUAUAUUAUUCUGUUCAGAAUCUCGGAAUAGGCUCCAGGGACCAAUCUGUAAAUUUUCCAAAGUUUGGGGACUAAAAUGUAAUUUUCCAAAAUUGAGGGACCAAACCGAAAUUGUCAUCUUCAACCUCAAACCCAGAAUUCUCACAGAUUACCUACUGUUCUUGCCAAAUUUCUAACUCAACAUUCACCAUUUACACAAUUCAUAACUCAAAAUCAUCACAAUCUUCCAUAAUCAACUCAUUAAUCAAUUACCCAUAACAAUCAACCUUAUAACAUUCAAUUUAAUUCAUCAAUUAACCCAAAACACAAAUUUUCAAAACCCUAACAUUCAUCAAAACUGAAAUUAAAGCUUAAUUAACACAUAUUUAUACAUAAUCUUACCUUUAAACUUAUUUUCUUCAACUCCUUUCUAUUUCCCUUCUAAUUUCCCUCUUUUCUCUUCUUCUUCUUCUUUCUCCCUUCUCUCUCACGGUUUGCUCUCUCAAAUAUUCAGAUCUCCUUUUUUUUUUCUUCUUUCUAUUUAUAUUUAUCAUCUCUUUAUUCAAUUACUACUAUACCCCUCAUUCAUUUAUUCCAAC